CCUCUCCCGGCUUUCUCAGCGCGCAUGGGACACCGGCUUUCUGACAUUUUUACAGCUCAGCGGUUCUCAAGAGUUUUGUUUCUCCAGUGGAAGUAACAGGCUGACUUUGUAGGGACGCGCAGCCGUCCGUAUAUGCGUAUAGUAUUCAGAGGUUCCUUCUGUAAGGACCGAUUUGGAAGACUCGUAAGGAAACAGUGUUCUUUAAGCAAACAUUGGCAAUGGAUUUAAAUGCUCAGAAUUUGAACAAAUCAACGACUGCAGGUGAAAUUAACUUGCUAACUGUAAAAUAUAUUAUUCGACAUUGAAACAGGAAAUCCCACAUGAGCACAUGGUGGAGUCUCUCUAUGUCACCCAGGCUAGAGGGCAAUGGCUCAAUCUCAGCUCACUACAAACUCUGCCUCCUAGGUUCAAGCAAUUCUCCUGCCUCACUCUCCCGAGUAGCUGGAAUUACAGCUGAUGAAGAAGAAUCCUCUCAUGAGACCAUUGGCAUGGACUGAAGGAGAGGCAGCAAGACCUCAGGAUCUUUCCUCAAGAGGACUAAGCCUCCCCAUCACUCAAGAGACCCUGGAUUCAAGAGCUGCCUAACAUCUAGAAACUUGGAAUCCCACUGUAUGCUCUCAAGGACCCUGUUUAUUCUGCAGCUCAGAUCAAAAUGCCUUUUUCCUAAAGAUGAGGUGGAGAAGAGAGAAGGCCUUUGCUUUCCUUGGCAUGUUAGAGUGUGAGCAGUGCUUACAGAGAAAGUUGAUUUCCUGGAAAACCUCCAGCCACAGCCCUUUUUAUUAUUUUAUUAUUAUUUUGUUUACUCUGCCAUAAAUUCAACCAAGUGUACACAACUCUUUUAAUAUGUGAAUGAUGAAACAGUAAAAGCCACAGCCUCACUGGAAGGCAGGAUGUGAGUCACCAUUAAAAAAAAAAAAAUCAACACAGACUUCAUCCCAACAACUUUAUUUCUAAGGAUCUUUCCUAGAUAUAUAUUUGCACGAAUGUGAAGAGACAUGUUCAAGGAUAUUCAGUGCAGCCUGGUUUGUAACAGUGAAAUCAGAAACAACAUAAAUGACUCACAAAAGAAAAAUGGUUACCUAAACUAUAUUACACCCAUACUAUGGAAUAUAUCCAUGCUCUGCAACAUUCAAAGAAUAAAAUAGAUCUAUAUUCAUCGAUAUGAAAAGACCUUUAAGACAAAUUGUUAAAUGAAAGCAAAUCUAUAGAAAAAUAAAGCAUAAUCCAGUUACAUAAAAAUACAUAUUUCUUUGUGUAUAUGUACACACACAUAAUGUAUAUAUGUACAUAAAGAAAAAGAUCUUGAAUGAUACCCAUCAAAUAGUGAGCUUUUGCUUUGUUUCUGAAUUUUUGACAAUUUAAGUGUAUUGAUAAUGCUACUUAUGUAAUUCAACAUUUAAGAAAAAAAGGCAAGGAAAGCAAGAAGUCAUGCUGCAUAGCAUAGUAUCUAACUGCCUGGUCCCUGGAACCAGACAACCUGUAUCCAGAUUCUAGCUUGCCACUUACUUAACCUCUCUGUGCUUCCGUUUCCUCCUCUGUAAACUGGAGGGUAACAACAGUGCCUACUGCUGAAGGUGGUUAUAGACAUGAAAUAAGAGGAUAUGUUCAAAGUGCUUGGGACCUAGUGAGGUCUAUGUAAAUGUUAGCUAGUAUUACUGAUUAAGGAGAGAAUAUAUCACUGGUGAUUCCACUUUAGUCAGAGAAGAAUGAUGAUUUUUUUCAUAUUCUGGCACUAGUGAGACCUCAGGAAAUGUGUUUUUAAAAAAUCAAUGUCAAACAGCCCCGAAGAUGAGGCUUCUAAUGGUCCUGCUAUUACCUAGUCUUCCUGGAACAAAAUGCACAUUGGAGAGAGUACAGUUCGACCGACAUUCAUACCAAACACUCCACUCAGUGCUAGAGACCAGUGAGGCAACAUUUCUGCUUUUAAGGGGCCCAUUUUGUGUUAUGGGGGGGUGUAGUGGAGGGAAGAGUCAAAUCAGUAAACAAAUCUUUUUAACACAGGGUAGUACACAAGAUGGGAUGACACAGAACUGUGAGUAAGCUAGAGUAGAAAAGAAUGGGAGGGACAAGAACGCUCCUGGUAGAUGUGAACACUCUGGAAAGAUGAGAGGAAUUAGCAAUGAAAGUAAAAAAGGGACUGGGCAUUUCAGGUAAGGGAAACAACAUGAUUUAUUUAGGGGAACUACAAGGAGUUUGGUAUUGUUAAAAUGUAUGUUUGUGUAUAUGUGUGUGUGUCUGUCUGGAUGAUGAAUGGGAAGGGGACAAGGAAGAAUGGUCAGAGGAAGUAAGGAACAACAAGUUUGGAAAGACAGUGACAAUGAUUGGUGACCUUAAUUAUGUAGCAUCAGAGUAGUAGUAGAAACAAAGCAAGAUGGUGGUAGAAAAAUUACUAAAGACAAUCUGCCUCUUUGGGCAGAUUGAGAGAUUUUUUGUUGUUGUUUUUUGAGACAGCGUUUCACUCUGUCACCCACGCU
This is a non-coding RNA of Macaca mulatta (Rhesus monkey), 2474 nucleotides long. The record is from RefSeq and is a predicted model, not a curated record. NCBI's taxonomy places the organism in Eukaryota, Metazoa, Chordata, Mammalia, Primates, Cercopithecidae.